RNA transcript from Ruditapes philippinarum (Manila clam), 1472 nucleotides. RefSeq lists it as uncharacterized. The transcript is spliced from 4 exons. NCBI's taxonomy places the organism in Eukaryota, Metazoa, Mollusca, Bivalvia, Venerida, Veneridae. The record is from RefSeq and is a predicted model, not a curated record.
ACAUUAUACAUGUUUUUAUGUAGAAUUUGUCUUAAAAUAGCAUUCUAAAUUAUCUUUCAAAAGCUUAUUUCUACUCAAUCUAUUUAGGUAUUAGAUAUAGUUAUACAUUCAAAUGAAUGUAAAAAAUAAAAUGAUGGGUGCUAUGGUUUUUGGAAAACCCCUCACAAUUUAAAAUUAUAAUGGACUGUCCAUGCAGUUACACGUUGUAAAGUUUGAAUUCAAAGGUAUUGGGGUCAGUUAAAGCUUGUAAACACAAAGGAAAUUAUUGAUAUUGUAGCAAUUCUGGAGAUAUUUUGUUUAAAAUGUAAGGGUGCAUAUUUUUGAUUUCUCAAAGAAAACAUUUAAAGUCUUAUUAGUGUGGUAAAUAUAAAUGAGAAGUUUUAACUGAAGUGUGAAUGUGUAGACAAGAAGAUAAACAGCAGAAUCAUUCCCAGUCAAAGUUUCAGGUAAACAACUUUUACAUACAAUAAUUAUUGUUAUUUAUGCAGAAACUGUUUAGUUUUUUGACAGUAAAAAUAUGAAGUGGUAUUGUAUAAAAUUGUGUUUUAUAUUUGUUUUGUUUGUAACUUGACUAAAAAGAAAGCUGCAUGUACAAUGUACAUAUAAAGAAUGUAGGAAUAUAAAGAAUGUAGGAAGAUCUUCAUCAUUUCUUAAAUACAAUAUGUUAGAAAUUUUAAGUUUGAGAAAAAAAUUAUAGAAAUUAAUCAACACAAAGCAAUGAGGAGCAGCCUGGAGCAACACAUUUGAUCUUCAGUGGCUUUACAAAGGACCAAGUGAUGGCAGAACUGAAGCCAUAUGCCUCAAAAGAGAAAGGUACAGCAAAGCUCUUCAGAAUGCUAUUCAAUAUAGAAGAGAUUAAAGGCGGCUCAUUGUUUGGUAUGAGGAAAGGGAACAGAGAGUCUGAAGCCAGACCUUCUUGUGCAGACAAGGCAAAACUUAAGUUCUUGGAAGAUUGUGCGCUCGAAAAGUUGCCGACAACCUAAAGGACUGAACUCAAACCGUCCAGGAAUAGCAAGAUAAACUGAAGAAAAUAAAUGGACUUAUGUUUUGCUAUUUUUUGAGACAAUAUAUAAUUUCAUAUGGAAACAUUAAAAAGGAUUAUUUUUAAAAUUUGUUUGUUUCCAAUUUAGGGUACAGGGUGACUUUCAAGCAGUUUCCAGCUAUUGCCACCCACAAGGUGGAAAAUUUCUGAAAGGGUGAAAAUAGGUGGCAUUUAGUGGAAACUGAAUUUGCCACUAUCUGGUGGCAAAAUGGUGGAAAAGUGUCUAAAUACUCCACCAAUUUUCCACCCUUAUGGUGGCAAAAGGUGGAAAUAAGUGGCAUUUGGUGGAAAAAUUAAGUUUGCCACUCAAUGGUGGCAUAAUGGUGGAAAUUUGUCUAAAUACUCCACCAAUUUUCCACCAUUAUGGUGGCAAUAAGUGGAAACAAGUGGCAUCUAGUGGAAAAUGAGUUUGCCACCCUAAGGUGGCAUA